Molecule: ribosomal RNA, 253 nt
Filed under: uncultured bacterium
Lineage: Bacteria
Description: partial 16S ribosomal RNA
Rfam family: Bacterial small subunit ribosomal RNA
Source: RNAcentral
UACGGAGGGAGCUAGCGUUGUUCGGAAUUACUGGGCGUAAAGCGCGCGUAGGCGGCUUUGUAAGUUAGAGGUGAAAGCCCGGGGCUCAACCCCGGAACUGCCUUUAAGACUGCAUCGCUUGAAUCCAGGAGAGGUGAGUGGAAUUCCGAGUGUAGAGGUGAAAUUCGCAGAUAUUCGGAAGAACACCAGUGGCGAAGGCGGCUCACUGGACUGGUAUUGACGCUGAUGUGCGAAAGCGUGGGGAGCAAACAGG